RNAcentral lists this ribosomal RNA (431 nucleotides) under uncultured bacterium. RNAcentral's name for it is "partial 16S ribosomal RNA". It matches the Rfam family "Bacterial small subunit ribosomal RNA", at positions 338 to 795 of the family's 1533-position model. The record is from RNAcentral.
CCUACGGGUGGCUGCAGUGGGGAAUUUUGGACAAUGGGGGCAACCCUGAUCCAGCAAUGCCGCGUGUGUGAAGAAGGCCUUCGGGUUGUAAAGCACUUUUGUGAACCGAGCGGUACCUGAAGAAUAAGCACCGGCUAACUACGUGCCAGCAGCCGCGGUAAUACGUAGGGUGCAAGCGUUAAUCGGAAUUACUGGGCGUAAAGCGUGCGCAGGCGGUUUUGUAAGACAGAUGUGAAAUGCCCGGGCUUAACCUGGGAACUGCAUUUGUGACUGCAAGGCUAGAAUUUGGCAGAGGGGGGUAGAAUUCCACGUGUAGCAGUGAAAUGCGUAGAUAUGUGGAGGAAUACCGAUGGCGAAGGCAGCCCCCUGGGCAAAUUGACGCUCAUGCACGAAAGCGUGGGGAGCAAACAGGAUUAGAUACCCUAGUAGUC